AGUGGGGAAUAUUGGACAAUGGACGAAAGUCCGAUCCAGCGACACCGCGUGGGGGAUGAAGGCUUUCGGGUUGUAAACCCCUUUUCUGGGGGAAGAAUAAGGUUGGGAGGAAAUGCCCAUCCGAUGACGGUACUCCAGGAAUAAGCAUCGGCAAACUUCGUGCCAGCAGCCGCGGUAAGACGAGGGAUGCAAGCGUUAUCCGGAAUUACUGGGCGUAAAGGACGUCUAGGCGGUUGGAUAAGUCAUUUGUGAAAUCCCAGGGCUUAACCCUGGAAGGUCUUGUGAUACUGUCCAGCUUGGGUGUAGGAGAGGAGAGCGGAACUCACAGAGUAGCGGUGGAAUGCGUAGAUACUGUGAGGUACCCCGAUGGCGAAGGCAGCUCUCUGGCCUAUUACCGACGCUGAAGCGUGAAAGCGUGGGGAGCAAAGGGGAUUAGAUACCCCCGUAGUCCACGCCCCAAACGAUGUUCACUUGGUGUCGGGAGCCUAUAUAUCUCGGUGCCGGAGCUAACGCGUUAAGUGAACCGCCUGAGGAGUACGGCCGCAAGGCUAAAACUCAAGAGAAUUGACGGGUCCCCGCACAAGCGGUGGAGCACGUGGUUUAAUUCGAUGAUAAGCGAAGAACCUCACCUGGGCUUGACAUACUAGUGGUAGGAACCUGAAAGGGUAACGACCCUGCCUUCGGGUAGGGAGCUAGUACAGGUGAUGCAUGGCUGUCGUCAGCUCGUGUCGUGGGAUGUAGGGUUAAGUCCCGAAACGAGCGCAACCCUUGUCACUAGUUGCCAGCGGAUAAUGCCGGGGACUCUAGUGAGACUGCUGGUGAAUAGCCGGAGGAAGGCGGGGAUGACGUCAAGUCAUCAUGUCCCUUAUGCCCAGGGCGACACACAUGCUACAAUGGGAGGUACAAAGGGUUGCAAUACGGUAACGUGGAGCUAAUCUCAAAAAGCCUCCCCCAGUUCGGAUUGUGGUCUGCAACUCGACCACAUGAAGCCGGAAUCGCUAGUAAUCGUAGGUCAGCCAUACUACGGUGAAUAUGUACUCGGGGAUUGUACACACCGCCCGUCACACCAACCGAGUGGGGGGUACCUGAAGUCGCUCUUUUGAGGGCGCCUAAGGUAACUCUCGCAAGAGGGGUG
This 1135-nucleotide ribosomal RNA is filed under the name uncultured bacterium. Its description in RNAcentral is "bacterial SSU rRNA". It matches the Rfam family "Bacterial small subunit ribosomal RNA", at positions 353 to 1482 of the family's 1533-position model. The record is from RNAcentral.